Long non-coding RNA from Sorghum bicolor (sorghum), 3465 nucleotides. RefSeq lists it as uncharacterized. The record is from RefSeq and is a predicted model, not a curated record. The transcript has 8 exons. Lineage: Eukaryota; Viridiplantae; Streptophyta; Magnoliopsida; Poales; Poaceae.
GCAGCCACCUCCCCGCGCGAGUGGACCACAAGUUUUUUCCCGAAAAAGGUGCCCGUCCAAAACUCCGAAGUCUCUCCUGCCUGUGCCCCCCGUUCCGUGUCCUUGCCCACCCGACUCCUCCCACCUUCUGUAACCCUAGCCGCCGGCCAUUGCAGGGCGCGCUGCCUCUAGGCAUUGGGAGGCCGCGGAGGACGACAACGUUGUUGUGGCCGGCCAUUAAACUGUACCAUUCAACGUUGUUGAGCUUCCCUCCCCUCCACCGCACCCCGAUCCUUACUUCCUUUCCCGGCGCCUGAUCAUACACCGCUACGCGCCUGCUCGCGUUCUGGAGCACUUUCGGUUUGCUUGGCCGUCCGGAUCUGGGCUCCCCCUCGGCGCCGGCGCGCAGAGUUCUCGCGGCGGAUCUCCUCCCCCCACUCGCGCUCAGGCUCGGUCCCUCAGCGCAGAUCUCCUUUUCCCCCACUCGCGCUCAGGCUCGGUCCCAGGGAUUCGAUCUUCCGCGCGUCGGCGGCGUCCAGCGACGGAGGGGCAGUCCCAGGCUCGGCGUCGGCGUCGGCGGCUCCCCCUCCCGCCUCGCACCCUCGCCUCCGUCCUCCGCGCACCGGCCCGUGCUCCUUUCUUUCCAGCGCCGCCCGCUGGCAUCUGAACCCCCACUGCGUGGUCUUAAUCACGUCACCGGCGUCUGCCUGGCCGGUGAGAGGCAGACAACGCUAACCAGGUCUUUGUCGGGCACUUCGCCGGUGACGUGCACCCACCAGAUCCCUCACCCUCGCCGCUCAGAUCCAGCAAGUGCAGGAGAAGGGAUGGAUGUCCUCUGAAGUGCAUGGUUGGACUCAUCGUCAGCAACAGGAAGGAGAUGAAGUCUAUUUCGUGUGGCCAUAGGCUUCUGGGGAGGACAGCCCCAACGACAUGGUGUUGCAGGUCAGGCCACUGCCAUCAUUCUUGUUGGAGCAUCUGCCUACUGAUCCGACAGAUGUGCUGAAUGACGUGGUGUUGAUGCUCUGAAGGAAUGGUGGUAGCUUUUCAUGCAACGUCGGGAGUAGAGAGGCACUCAACCUCAAUUUCGAAGAUGCAGUGGUGAGACAUAAUAACACUCUGCCAGCUAGUUGUUCGUUAAUUUGGUUUUGAGAAAGAUAAACUGGUAGCAGAGAUGAUAUGUUCCAUGUGUAUAUUUCUUUGGAGGAGUCCAUCAAAAGGAUCAUGUGAUUGAUUGUUUCUCAACUGAUAUCUGGAAGAUCUGAUAAAAUUGCAGAUCAAGCAAUGUUUUUUUUUCAACAUGUGAAAUACUUGCAAGUUAGAAGUCGAUUUUGUGCGGUCUACAGGCUUCUGAGGAGGACAACCCCAAUGGCAUGGUGUUGCAGGUCAGGCCGCUGUCAUCAUUGUUGUUGGAGCAUCUACCUGCUGAUCCGGCAGAUCUUCUGAACAGCAUGGUGUUGAUGCUCUGAAACAGUAGCUUCUCAAACAAUGGCAGGAGCAGAAAGGCGCUCAACCUCAACAUCGAAGGCCUGUUGGUUUCUUUUCUUGAUCAUGGUAAUUAUUUGCCUUAGUUUCAAUCUAUGUACUAUGUGCCUUAACUGGACUCAUGAAUGAAUGGCACUAACAGUUUGCUGCUCCUACUUUAUUUUUGCUUCGUCAGAUGCACUGGUGAGACACAACAACAAUCUGCUAGCUAGCUGUUCGUUAAUUUGGUUUUGAGAAAGAUAAACUUGCAGCAGAGAUGAUAUGUUCCAUGUGCAUUUUUCCUACGAAGAGUCCAUGAAAAGGAUCAUGUGAUUCAUUGUUUCCCAACUGAUAUCCGGAAGAUUUGAUGAAAUUGCACAUCAAGCAAUGGUUUUUUUUCUCAACAUGUGAAAUACUUGCAUGUUAGCAGCAGGGCUUGGGUUGGGAAAUAACAGUUUGGUUUGGAAAAUUACAUGAACAAUAGAUUUAUAGUAGCAAGUAAUAAAGACAAAUUGAAUGCAAACUGGGACAAAUGUUACUUACUGUAAAUGAUUUGACUAACCUAAAUACCUCUCAUUUACCAUUUGUGGUCGAGAAAAAAGAACCAGAAACAACCAAGUAUAUCGUGAUCGUGCUAAGGAGCGUUGUAACCCAGAUCAUGAACCUACAGAAAUUGGUUCAUUUCAUGCAGUGACACCUCCUGGGACUGAUUUGAGGCUAGCAGAUGCCCACAUGAUUUCAAUUCAGAACAUCAUUUUCUCCAACUGAAAUAAAAUAAGAAGAGGUAGAGAAUAUGACACUAUAUAUUGGAUAUUGGCUGGUGAGUUAGAACCUCAGAUGCUGCUUUUGAUAUUUUCAUCUUAUGAGCAGAUCUUUGAUUUUUUAGAUAAGUAUUAUUUGUGAAUAAAUUUAUUGUUCCUGUAAAUAUCUACAGUAGCAAACUCCAAGCCUCUGGUAUGCACUUUGCACUUGUUAUAAUAAUCACUCCCUACAGACAAACAUAAGUGGCAUUUGACAUGUACUAUAAGUCUCCUACACUAUUGUCCUAGACUCUGGUUUUCGCACAUUAGUGGAAAUGUAUGUCAUUGUUCCAUUGGGGAGAUAGGGUGGUUAUAAGGGAGUCCUGCAUACUUGAUUGGAGAAAUUGAUUGGAGUGUACUCUCUCUUAUGUGCUUCUGCAAGUUUACAUGUGAAAGAUUGUUGUGACGACUACUGUGUGAUUCUUAUUAACUUUUUUACCUUAGCAUUUGAGUGUGAUUUAUCAGUUUUCUACUAUUCUAAGAUGAAUGUUUCAAACCUUAUUAGGAUUAAACUGUUUCUGUACUCUGCUUUUGUAAUGUUUGUCUUUUGGUUAGUAAUGAUUCUAAUGAACAAUAAUCAAUUGUGCUCUAUGUGGAAUUAAAGUGAUAUUUACUUGACCAAAACAUGAAGGUUGGCUAACUUGGCUUGCCUUAUUUAGGGAAUUUGAUUAUGCAAAUAGUGUUCAGUACUGUCAUUAGACAUAUUUGUGCAGCAGUAGUAUACAGAUUGGUCGCACGAGCUAUAGCAUGAAAGGCGGAUGACAAAGAGAAGCAAUCUUAUUCAAUGGCCUGUGCAAAACGAUGAUGCUCUAUUGUGAUUGCUCUUCAAUUUUUUUCAAAGUUAGCAAGCAGUUGGGAUGUGCGGUGGCGACCUCGCUCAAGUAGCUCUAGCCCGACGUUCGACUGAGAUGAUAGGAGGAAUCUCCGAUCCUCAGCUGACUCCCUUCUCUCCGUGAGUCGCCUCUUGGUUGGAGAUCAAGUUGCACCUGCCCGACUUCACUAGAUCUUAGGGUUUCAUAUAAUAUUGUUUUUAUAUACGAUUUGUGCCUUUUUAGCUGUUGUGGUUGUUGCUGCAGACUGGUGAGAUAGUUUGGUGGUAGUUCGGACUAAUUUAGCUUUUGCUUCAAUGUGUUUUCAACUAAAUUUGAGACCCAGUUGGCCAGUUCACUUAGCCGUGUUUGGAAGUUAAUAAAUAGAAAAGGAAGACCUGGAUUCUCAUUUGAGA